RNAcentral lists this ribosomal RNA (253 nucleotides) under uncultured bacterium. RNAcentral describes it as "partial 16S ribosomal RNA". It matches the Rfam family "Bacterial small subunit ribosomal RNA", at positions 524 to 776 of the family's 1533-position model. The record is from RNAcentral.
UACGUAGGUGGCAAGCGUUGUCCGGAAUUAUUGGGCGUAAAGCGCGCGCAGGCGGUCCUUUAAGUCUGAUGUGAAAGCCCACGGCUCAACCGUGGAGGGUCAUUGGAAACUGGGGGACUUGAGUGCAGAAGAGGAAAGCGGAAUUCCACGUGUAGCGGUGAAAUGCGUAGAGAUGUGGAGGAACACCAGUGGCGAAGGCGGCUUUCUGGGACGGUACCGACGCUGAGACGCGACAGCGUGGGGAGCAAACAGG